GAGGCAGCAGUGGGGAAUAUUGCACAAUGGGGGAAACCCUGAUGCAGCGACGCCGCGUGAGUGAAGAAGUAUUUCGGUAUGUAAAGCUCUAUCAGCAGGGAAGAAAAUGACGGUACCUGACUAAGAAGCCCCGGCUAACUACGUGCCAGCAGCCGCGGUAA
Molecule: ribosomal RNA, 161 nt
Filed under: uncultured Bacillota bacterium
Lineage: Bacteria; Bacillati; Bacillota
Description: uncultured Firmicutes bacterium partial 16S ribosomal RNA
Rfam family: Bacterial small subunit ribosomal RNA
Source: RNAcentral